Molecule: ribosomal RNA, 439 nt
Filed under: uncultured bacterium
Lineage: Bacteria
Description: partial 16S ribosomal RNA
Rfam family: Bacterial small subunit ribosomal RNA
Source: RNAcentral
CCUACGGGGGGCAGCAGUGGGGAAUAUUGCACAAUGGGCGAAAGCCUGAUGCAGCAACGCCGCGUGAGUGAUGAAGGCCUUCGGGUCGUAAAACUCUGUCCUCAAGGAAGAUAAUGACGGUACUUGAGGAGGAAGCCCCGGCUAACUACGUGCCAGCAGCCGCGGUAAUACGUAGGGGGCUAGCGUUAUCCGGAUUUACUGGGCGUAAAGGGGGCGGAGGCGGACUGUAAAGUCUGGAGUGAAAGGCUGCGGCCCACCCGUAGAAAGCUCUUGAAACCGGGAGACUUGAGUGCAGGAGAGGCGAGUGGAAUUCCUAGGGUAGCGGUGAAAUGCGUAGAUAUUAGGAGGAACACCAGUUGCGAAGGCGGCUCUCUGGACUGUAACUGACGCUGAGGCACGAAAGCGUGGGGAGCAAACAGGAUUAGAUACCCCGGUAGUC